This 70-nucleotide transfer RNA is filed under the name Macrostomum lignano. It matches the Rfam family "tRNA". Rfam says of the family: Transfer RNA (tRNA) molecules are approximately 80 nucleotides in length. Their secondary structure includes four short double-helical elements and three loops (D, anti-codon, and T loops). The record is from Rfam by way of RNAcentral. Lineage: Eukaryota; Metazoa; Platyhelminthes; Macrostomidae.
GGAAUUGUAGCCUAUUGGUUAGAGCGUCGGACUAACGACUCGAAGGUCGAGGGUUCGAUUUCCGAUUCCA